Molecule: ribosomal RNA, 122 nt
Filed under: Pteropus alecto (black flying fox)
Lineage: Eukaryota; Metazoa; Chordata; Mammalia; Chiroptera; Pteropodidae
Source: RNAcentral
GUCUACAGCCAUGCUACCCUGAACAAGCCGAUCCCGUCUGAUCUCGGAAGCUAAGCAGGGUCAGGCCUGGUUAGUACUUACUUGGAUGGGAGACCACCUAGGAAGACCAGGUGCUGUAGGCA